Molecule: ribosomal RNA, 450 nt
Filed under: uncultured bacterium
Lineage: Bacteria
Description: partial 16S ribosomal RNA
Rfam family: Bacterial small subunit ribosomal RNA
Source: RNAcentral
GUGGGGAAUAUUGGACAAUGGGCGAAAGCCUGAUCCAGCCAUGCCGCGUGUGUGAAGAAGGUCUUCGGAUUGUAAAGCACUUUAAGUUGGGAGGAAGGGCAGUAAGUUAAUACCUUGCUGUUUUGACGUUACCGACAGAAUAAGCACCGGCUAACUUCGUGCCAGCAGCCGCGGUAAUACGAAGGGUGCAAGCGUUAAUCGGAAUUACUGGGCGUAAAGCGCGCGUAGGUGGUUUUGUAAGUUGGAGGUGAAAUCCCCGGGCUCAACCUGGGAACUGGCUCCAAAACUGAAUGACUAGAGUACGGUAGAGGGUAGUGGAAUUUCCUGUGUAGCGGUGAAAUGCGUAGAUAUAGGAAGGAACACCAGUGGCGAAGGCGACUACCUGGACUGAUACUGACACUGAGGUGCGAAAGCGUGGGGAGCAAACAGGAUUAGAAACCCGGGUAGUCC